GGUAUCCGAUCUGUCACUCGUGUUUGGGAGAGUAUCGAUUUUUGACCAGUGUUCAGUUGGAUACUGUUCAUGCCACGAGUGGAAUAUGUAUCUUGGUGUGUAACACUUGAUUGAGAUAUUGAAGCAGUGUAAGUGAGGCUCAGAGAACUAGCAAGAUGACUAAGGACAGACUUGCAGCGCUGAGAGCGGCGCAGAGCGACGAGGAUGACGUGGGGCCAGAUGACGUUGCCGUCAACGUUGACGGCAACGUUGGCUACAUGGACGACUUCUUCAAUGAGGUGAGCGUGGAUGAAGAAUAAGGAUGGUAUGUACAGUACAGGACCAGCCACGUACAGUACAGGACCAUCCAUGUACAGUACAGGACCAGUCACGUACAGUACAGGACCAG
This is a long non-coding RNA of Homarus americanus (American lobster), 388 nucleotides long. RefSeq lists it as uncharacterized. Lineage: Eukaryota; Metazoa; Arthropoda; Malacostraca; Decapoda; Nephropidae. The transcript is spliced from 3 exons. The record is from RefSeq and is a predicted model, not a curated record.